CGCUGGCGGCGUGACUUAACACAUGCAAGUCGAACGGAAAGGCCCAGCUUGCUGGGUACUCGAGUGGCGAACGGUGAGUAACACGUGGUGAUCUGCCCCAAACUUCGGGAUAAGCCUGGGAAACUGGGUCUAAUACCGGAUAUGACCUGCUCCUGCAGUGGGGGUUGGUGGAAAGCUUUUGCGGUUUGGGAUGGGCCCGCGGCCUAUCAGCUUGUUGGUGGGGUAAUGGCCUACCAAGGCGACGACGGGUAGCCGACCUGAGAGGGUGAUCGGCCACACUGGGACUGAGACACGGCCCAGACUCCUACGGGAGGCAGCAGUGGGGAAUAUUGCACAAUGGGCGCAAGCCUGAUGCAGCGACGCCGCGUGAGGGAUGACGGCCUUCGGGUUGUAAACCUCUUUCGCCAGGGACGAAGCGCAAGUGACGGUACCUGGAGAAGAAGCACCGGCCAACUACGUG
RNAcentral lists this ribosomal RNA (460 nucleotides) under uncultured bacterium. RNAcentral's name for it is "bacterial SSU rRNA". It matches the Rfam family "Bacterial small subunit ribosomal RNA", at positions 34 to 507 of the family's 1533-position model. The record is from RNAcentral.